This is a long non-coding RNA of Acinonyx jubatus (cheetah), 3077 nucleotides long. RefSeq lists it as uncharacterized. The transcript has 2 exons. The record is from RefSeq and is a predicted model, not a curated record. Lineage: Eukaryota; Metazoa; Chordata; Mammalia; Carnivora; Felidae.
AAACAAGCUUUAUAUGGCAAGAGGUGGAAGCAACCCAGUGUCCCUGAAUGGACGAAUGGAUAAACAAAGUAUGGUAUACACAGAAAAUGGCAUAUUAGUCAGCCUUUUAUUUAAAAAGCAAAGAAAUCGUGUCACAUGCUACAUGUAUGAACCUGAAGGAACUGUACUAAAUGAAAUAAGCAGCCACAUAAAGCCAGGUACUGUGGGAUUUCACUUAUAUGAGGCAUCUAAAGUAAGGUAGUCAGAUUCAUAGAAACAAAAUGAAAAGGUGGUUGCCAGGGACUGGGAGGAGAGAGAAAAGCAGAGUUGCUUCAGUUUUGCAAGAUAAAAAGGUUCUGGAGAUGUUUCACAACAAUGCAAGCAUAUUUAACAUUGCUGAACUGUGCACUUAAAGAUGGUUAGUUAAGGUGGUAAAUUUAAUUUGUGUGUGUGUGUGUGUGUGUGUGUGUGUGUGUGUGUGUUUUACCACAAUUAAAAAAAAAUAGGAGCGCCUGGGUGGCUCAGUUGGUUAAACAUCCCACUUCGGCAUGGGUCAUGAUCUCACAGUCCAUGGGUUCAAGUCCCAAAUCAGGCUCUGUGCUGACAGCUCAGAGCCUGGAGCCUGCUUUGGAUUCUGUGUCUCCCUCUCUCUCUGCCCCUCCCCUGCUCGUGCACGCUCUCUCUCUCUCUCUCUCUCUCUCUCUCAAAAAUAAAUAAACAUCAAAAAAAAAAAAAAAGUUUAGUCUUGGAUGCAGCUUUGUUCAGAUAGAUCCCAAAGAAGGAAUCCAGAAGGGUCUGAUCUACAGAUGCCCAGUUCCUUCUUGUAAACUGAUCAAUCAAACAAGUUUUUGCUACCAGCCUAGCAAGAGAUAAGUGAGGGGAUGGGUCAAGAGGCAGGAAGUAUUGCUGAAAUGGAGGUCUCUCCAUGUGGAAAUUUGGUGAUUAAAUUUACUACACAUACUUAGAACUCAAAUAUCUAUGUAUUUGUUGUAUAAAGAGAAUUUUUCAAUUGCUAUUAUUAAAUUGUAUUGUUAAAAUAUAAUGGUAAAAGCAAAAUCAUCACACAUUACAAAAUUUAAAUACCAAAGAAAAAAGCAAAUGAUUUCCAAUAUAUAAAUAAGCAAAUAAAUAAAAGUCAUCAGAAGUUUAAAACUUGUGAAUGUAAUCCUAAAAUUUGUAUGGGACCAUAGAAGACCCCAGGGCACCCAGGUGGCUCAGUUGGUUAAGCACUUGAGUUCAGCUCAGGUCAUGAUCUUGCUGUUCAUGAGUUUGAGCCCCACAUUGGGCUCUCUGCUGUCAGCACAGAGCCCACCUCAGAUCCUCUGUCUCCCUCUCUCUCUGUCCCCCAAAAUAAAUAAACAUUAAAAAAAUAAUUUAAAAAAAAGACCCCAAAUAGCCAAAGGAACCUUGAAAAAGAAAAAACUGAAGGUAUCACAAUUCAAAACUUUAAGGUACAUUACAAAGCUGUAGUGAUCAAAACAGUAUGGUACUGGAUUAAGAUAGACACAUAGAUCCAUAGAACAGAAGACCCAGAAAUAAACCCACAAAUUACAUGGUCAGUUUUUGACAAAGGAGGAAAAAAUAUACAAUGGGGAAAAGACAGGUUCUUCAACAAAUGGUGUUGGGAAAACUGGAUAGCUACAUGCAAAAGAAUGAAACUGGACCACUUUCUUACACCAUACACAAAAGUCAACUCAAAAUGGAUCAAAGAGCUACAUGUGAGACCUGAAACUAUAAAAUUGUAGAAGAGAGCACAGGCAGUGAUGUCUCUGACAUCAGCUGUGGCAACAUUUUUCUAGAUAGGUCUUCUGAGGCAAGGUAAAUAAAAGCAAAAAUAAACUUCAUCAAAAUAAAAAUCUUCUAAAAAUAAAAAAAAUAAAAGUCUUCUGCGCAGCAAAGGAAACAGCCAACAAAACUAAAAGGCAACCUAAUGAAUGGGAGAAGAUAUCUGCAAAUGACAUCAAUAAAAGGUUAGUAUCCAAAAUAAAUAAAGGAUUUAUACAACUCAACACCCAAGAAAUAAAUAAUCCAAUUUAAAAAAUGAGGAGAAGACAUGAACAGACAUUUCUCCAAAGAAGGAAUACAGAUGGCCAACAGACACAUGAAAAGAUGCUUAACAUCACUCAUCAGGGAAGUGCAAAUCAAAACUACAGUGAGAUAUCACUGUCAGAAUGGCUAAAAUAAAAAACACAGGAACCAGCUUUUGGCCAGGAUGUGGGGAAAAAGGAACCCUCUUGCACAGUUGGUGGGAAUGCAAACUAGUGCAGCCACUGUGGAAAACAGUAUGGAGGUUCCUCAAAAAGUUAAAAAUAGAACUGCCCUAAGAUCCAGCAACUGCCCUACUGGGUAUUUACCCAAAGAUACAAAAGUAAUAAUUCAAAGGGAUACACGUACCCCUAUGUUUAUAGCAGCAUUACUUACAAUAGCCAAGAUAUGGAAGCAGCCCAAGUGUCCAUCGACAGAUGAGUGGAUAAGGAAGAUGUGGUGUGUGUGUGUGUGUGUGUGUGUGUAAAAUGGAAUAUUACUCAGCCAUAAAAAAAUGAAAUCUUGCCAUUUGCAACAACAUGAAUGGGACUAGAGAGUAUAAUGCUAAGCGAAAUAGACCAGAGAAAGACAAAUACUAUAUGAUUUCACUCAUGUAGAAUUUAAGAAACAAAAAAAAUGAGCAAAGGGAAAAAGACAAACCAAGAAACAGACUCUUAACUAUAGAGAACAAACUGAUUGUCAGAGGGAAGGCAGGGGGUGGGGGGGAUUGGGCAAAAUAGGUGAUAGGGAUUAAAGAGUACAGUUGUGAUGAGCACUGGGUAAUGUAUGGAAGUGUUGUAUCACUAUAUCGUACACUUGAAACUAAUAUAACACUGUAUGUUAACUACACUGGAAUUAAAAUUAAAAACUUAAUAAAAAAUGACCAACAAGGGGUGCCUGGGUGGCUCAGUCGGUUAAGCAUUCGACUUCAGCUUAGGUCAUGAUCUCACGGUCUGUGAAUUCGAGCCCCACGUCAGGCUCUGUGCUGACCGCUCAGAACCUGGAGCCUGCUUCGGAUUCUGUCUUCCUCUGUCUCUGCCGCUCCCCUGCUUGUGCUCUGGUCUCUCUCUCUC